Molecule: ribosomal RNA, 259 nt
Filed under: uncultured prokaryote
Description: partial 16S ribosomal RNA
Rfam family: Bacterial small subunit ribosomal RNA
Source: RNAcentral
UACGUAGGUGGCAAGCGUUAUCCGGAAUUAUUGGGCGUAAAGAGCGCGCAGGUGGUUGAUUAAGUCUGAUGUGAAAGCCCACGGCUUAACCGUGGAGGGUCAUUGGAAACUGGUCGACUUGAGUGCAGAAGAGGGAAGUGGAAUUCCAUGUGUAGCGGUGAAAUGCGUAGAGAUAUGGAGGAACACCAGUGGCGAAGGCGGCUUCCUGAUCUGUAACUGACACUGAGGCGCGAAAGCGUGGGGAGCAAACAGGAUUAGA